RNAcentral lists this small RNA (789 nucleotides) under Pongo abelii (Sumatran orangutan). RNAcentral's name for it is "processed transcript". Lineage: Eukaryota; Metazoa; Chordata; Mammalia; Primates; Hominidae. The record is from RNAcentral.
GGAGGAGCAGAGCCUGCUACAGCCCAGGCUUCCCGCCAGUCAAGCCUGCUGGUGUGCUCUGGGUCUGGCCUGGGCUUACGAAGUUUCAGCUCCCGUGUGUGUGCCAUUAGACUCGUUGCACGCAGCUGUGUUGGACGACGGAGGCUGGACGCCCAUGAUCUGGGCCACGGAGUACAAGCACGUGGACCUUGUGAAGCUGCUGCUGUCCAAGGGCUCUGACAUCAACAUCCGGGACAACGAGGAGAACAUUUGCCUGCACUGGGCGGCGUUCUCCGGCUGCGUGGACAUAGCCGAGAUCCUGCUGGCUGCCAAGUGCGACCUCCACGCCGUGAACAUCCACGGAGACUCGCCGCUGCACAUUGCCGCCCGGGAGAACCGCUACGACUGUGUCGUCCUCUUUCUUUCUCGGGAUUCAGAUGUCACCUUAAAGAACAAGGAAGGAGAGACGCCCCUGCAGUGUGCAAGCCUCAACUCUCAGGUGUGGAGCGCUCUGCAGAUGAGCAAGGCUCUGCAGGACUCGGCCCCAGACAGGCCCAGCCCCGUGGAGAGGAUAGUGAGCAGGGACAUCGCUCGAGGCUACGAGCGCAUCCCCAUCCCCUGUGUCAACGCUGUGGAUGGCGAGCCAUGCCCCAGCAACUACAAGUACGUCUCUCAGAACUGCGUGACGUCCCCCAUGAACAUCGACAGAAACAUCACUCAUCUGCAGUACUGCGUGUGCAUCGACGACUGCUCCUCCAGCAACUGCAUGUGCGGCCAGCUCAGCAUGCGCUGCUGGUAUGACAAGGAUGG